AACGCAAAUUGCACUCUCCGGUUUUCCGGGAGAGUAUGCCUGUUUGAGGGUCAGCCUAAAAAAAAUCGACAUUGUUGCUGUAUUUUAUGGUGACUUUCGUCGGAGAUGGGUUAUCUUAAACCUUUGGUUUAAGCGACUUAAAAUUUUUUUACGAUUCCACGAACGUUUCUAAGAUUUUCUUGUACGUUCAAGGUAUAUCGAGCGUCUUAUUAGACGUGGCCGUAAUAUCGGAUCAUGUCCAUAAUUUUUUUCGUUAACUGACCUCAGACAGGUAAGAGUACCCGCUGAACUUAA
Molecule: unclassified non-coding RNA, 294 nt
Filed under: uncultured fungus
Lineage: Eukaryota; Fungi
Description: partial contains 5.8S ribosomal RNA, internal transcribed spacer 2, and large subunit ribosomal RNA
Source: RNAcentral